Molecule: ribosomal RNA, 253 nt
Filed under: uncultured bacterium
Lineage: Bacteria
Description: partial 16S ribosomal RNA
Rfam family: Bacterial small subunit ribosomal RNA
Source: RNAcentral
UACGGAGGGUGCGAGCGUUGUUCGGAAUUACUGGGCGUAAAGCGCAUGUAGGCGGCUUAUUAAGUCGGAUGUGAAAUCCCUUGGCUUAACCGAGGAACUGCAUUCGAUACUGGUAAGCUUGAGUGUCGGAGGGGAUGGUAGAAUUCCUGGUGUAGAGGUGAAAUUCGUAGAUAUCAGGAGGAAUACCUGUGGCGAAGGCGACCAUCUGGAAGACAACUGACGCUGAGAUGCGAAAGCGUGGGUAGCAAACAGG